CCUACGUGUGUCAGCAGUGAGGAAUAUUGGUCAAUGUGCGCGAGCCUGAACCAGCCAAGUCGCGUGAGGGAAGACGGUCCUAUGGAUUGUAAACCUCUUUUGUCGGGGAGCAAAAGACGCCACGCGUGGCGUUCCGAGAGUCCCCGAAGAAAAAGCAUCGGCUAACUCCGUGCCAGCAGCCGCGGUAAUACGGAGGAUGCGAGCGUUAUCCGGCUUUAUUGGGUUUAAAGGGUGCGCAGGCGGAAGAUCAAGUCAGCGGUAAAAUUGAGAGGCUCAACCUCUUCGAGCCGUUGAAAAUGGUUGUCUUGAGUGAGUGAGAAGUAUGCAGAAUGCGUGGUGGAGCGGUGAAAUGCAGAGAUAUCACACAGAACUCCGAUUGCGAAGGCAGCAUACCGGCGCUCAACUGACGCUCAUGCACGAAAGUGUGGGUAUCGAACAGGAUUAGAUACCCGAGUAGUC
This 459-nucleotide ribosomal RNA is filed under the name uncultured bacterium. Its description in RNAcentral is "partial 16S ribosomal RNA". It matches the Rfam family "Bacterial small subunit ribosomal RNA", at positions 338 to 795 of the family's 1533-position model. The record is from RNAcentral.